GAGACACCGCCCACACGCCAGACGCGCUGUGAUUGGCCCCAGCUACCCUCGGACCGAGAUUCCUAUUGGUCCCAGGUGUCGAGCAUGCGCACUUUGGUCGUGGGCGCGUGUGUGGAAUGGGAGGAGGUCGCGCUGUCCAUGGGCGUCCUUGGCCUGCGCCACCCAGAGAUGAUAAAUAGCCAAAGACGUCAAUGGCACCCAUGGACAUAGUAAGCAUAGUAGGAGCUGAAAAACUAGAAGCAAUGACAAUGUCAACUAUUUUGAGCAAAAAGAAGCAGUGUCUUCGGAACAUUUGAUCAUAAAA
This 304-nucleotide long non-coding RNA is filed under the name Homo sapiens (human). RNAcentral describes it as "non-protein coding MIR4458HG:5". The record is from RNAcentral. Lineage: Eukaryota; Metazoa; Chordata; Mammalia; Primates; Hominidae.